Molecule: ribosomal RNA, 253 nt
Filed under: uncultured bacterium
Lineage: Bacteria
Description: partial 16S ribosomal RNA
Rfam family: Bacterial small subunit ribosomal RNA
Source: RNAcentral
UACGUAGGGUGCAAGCGUUAUCCGGAAUUAUUGGGCGUAAAGAGCUCGUAGGCGGUUUGUCGCGUCUGCUGUGAAAACUGGGGGCUCAACCCCCAGCCUGCAGUGGGUACGGGCAGACUAGAGUGAUGUAGGGGAGACUGGAAUUCCUGGUGUAGCGGUGAAAUGCGCAGAUAUCAGGAGGAACACCGAUGGCGAAGGCAGGUCUCUGGGCAUUAACUGACGCUGAGGAGCGAAAGCGUGGGGAGCGAACAGG